Molecule: long non-coding RNA, 1827 nt
Organism: Neofelis nebulosa (Clouded leopard)
Lineage: Eukaryota; Metazoa; Chordata; Mammalia; Carnivora; Felidae
Exons: 2
Source: RefSeq, a predicted model, not a curated record
GAGAACUAGGAAGGAAAGAAGCUCUGGAUGAGACGUCCCUGGCACUCAGCCUCCCUCCCUGGCCUGCGGAAUCCAAGCUCAAACACUGGGCCUGGAACUUCGUACAGAGUGUGUCUUCCCAAAGGCCCGAUCCCUACCCACUCCAGUCCCGGGGCCUAGAGACCUGUGCUGUGCUCUGCCGACACACAAAAUCUAUGCAAAAACGGCAGGAUCCUUGGAAGGGAUGGUGAGUUUAAACCACAUAAAACAAGCUUUUCAUCUGAAGAUACUCUGGGUUUUGCUUGCGAAGGGGAGAAGAGUAAGGUUUUGGUUAAAAUGCCUUUAGGGGUCAUUAAGGGCUUUCUGCUUUGGUUUGGAAGAACUAGAGUCAAAAUAAAGCUGGAACCAGAAGGCAGAAAUGGGCAUCUGCUUGUACAGAACUUGCUCAGCGUCCAGAAGAACCCGCGGUCUCCCUGGAGGAGGCAAACUUUACAUGGAGCACAAAACAGCUGGUUUAGCUACAGCCUGUGUUGGAAGUCAGGACUGCGUGUUGGCCGGCGUCUCAGUGCUGUGUGUCUUGGGACACGUUCAGGGCACGUGAGAAGACACCGCAGGACAUACAGCCAGUCCUGUGGAGUAAAUCCUGCUAUUUUCAUAAGAGACCCAGGGUUUAGACAUUUAUACUCUAAUCCGCGGUAGUCCUGUGGUCUGUGGGAGAUUCCGACGGGCUUUACAGAGUCUGUUCGUUUUCUUCUUGGCACUUACCACUACCGGAAGCUGUACUGUUGUGUGUAUGUGCUGUCUUCCCCACUCGAAUGUAAACCCCAGUGCCACCAGGAAGGACUCUGUCUCACCAGCGGCCGGUCCUCAGCACCAACCACACUGGCUACCACGUAGGAGGCAGAAUUACGUGUUACAUGAAUGGGGAACCGAUUCUUUCCAAACCACCGUUUCAAAUUUCCCUUUCAGUCUCAAAGUGGAGUCCGUCAGUGAUGGCCAAAUAAAGUCGCGGCCAGCGCCCCUAUCAGAUGAUCGUCAGUGAAGCUGGACGAAGUCUGCAGGCUCACGCGCCCAGAAGAGAACACUCACCUGUGCCUGGGUUUUGUUAUUGGUUUUGAGAACCAAGAAAGAUCACAGAAUGUGAAAUCACCUAACGCAGGACACACGGUCUAUCCCCACUAAAAGGUGGCUUCCGUGCAUUUAUGGGCAAAUUGCACUUGUCAAGUUACUUUCUCACGUGCAGCUCAGAACUCCCCACAUCUUCUGUAAUGACUGAGGAGGCUGAAGCUAAGAGACUUGAAACGCCUUCGCUGUGAAGGGCCCGCGGGCAGUGGGCCCCAGUGCAGACCCGUACCUCCUGGUCAGUGGUUAGGAGGCUCUGGCUGCAGUCCCCUGAAGGAACAUUAACUGGUGCACAGAGGACACCACCUUAGAACAGACUGGCAAAGCAAGAAGAGGCGGGGAGAUCAACCUGUUUUCCACCAGGGGUGUUCUCUAGCCUGGGGUCCUUGGACUCCUCCCAUGUGGUCCAUGAACUUGGAAUAGGAAAGGAGUAGUUUUAUUGUUACCAGCCUCUAAGGGAACGUGGCCUUCCCUUCUAUUAUAAAUUGAAGCAGCAAUCAUGUGGCAUAAGCCACGGCACUUCGCCACCAAGAGAAAUUGCAGAUGUUUUGGGGCGCCUGGGUGGCUCAGUUCGAGCCCCGCAUCGGGCUCUGCUCUGACACCUUAGAGCCUGGAUGGAGGCUGCUUUGGAUUCUGUGUCUCCCUCUCUCUCUCUGCCCCUUCCCCGCUCAUGCUCUGUCUCUCUCAAAAAUAAACACUUAAAAUUUUUUAAAAAGAAAAAUUGCA